AUACGUCAUAACGUAAGAUCGCGCCAUACUGGCAGUGGCCAGAGUAGAGAGCCUUGAUAAAGUAUGGAACGUUUUCAGGAUAUUCAGCUUUCACUAAAGCGAAUUUUAGUUGAUGUGUCAAUGAAGAACAAAAGCUGGAAUGUGAAUAGAAGAAGGGGUCGUACGGGGUCUGUAAAAAUACUCAAGUGGUGCUCGCUGCAUAUCAGAUCAAGCAUUGGAAUAAGAUUUUUAUCGGGGGAGAACAACCAACAGAAAGACCCAUUCACCAACUACAUGGCGCACUGAAAGGGGAGAUUCAUGUCACCUUCACCAGUCCUUUCUUUAAUUGCUGGAAACUGUUAAGGGAAAGACCCUCAGACAUAAUAGGAUAAAUGUGGCUGCAGGUAAAAUUAUUUGAUGGUGUUAAGGUUUAUCAUUAUCUAACAAACCAAAUGCUUUGUUCAAUAACAAGAAAUCACGUUAGGGCCAUUUUCUGGAAGAGAAAUCCACUUGGACAGUUUGACAAGGAUCAAGAGGCCAAGGACCAGGUGGUGAAGUCGGAACCAGACCAGACAGCUCUCGCACAGCCAGCCUCUGAACCUGCUCUACAGUUUGAAUCGCCCGGGUGAAGUUAAACUCUACUUUGCUGGUGACCCAGAUGGCUGAGAACAUGAUAGGCUGAAACCCUGGAAGCUAAGAGGGAAGCGGCAAAGGAGUUCGAAGAAGAGCUGAAAAGCACGUCUUAAUGAACACAAGGACAAGGCCUGGUGAAAGCCACUACAGAGGAUCAUAGCCAUCGUUGGAGUUCUGAAAGGACGUGGGUGAAUAUCAAUCUGCCAAAUGAACUUUUUUUAGCAUGCACAUUCACAUCUUUAUAUUAAUACUGAUUAUAUAUGAACUUGUUUGUUUGUUACUGGAAAGAACUUAGCUUCUAUUGUGUUUGACAGAAGGAGUUUUAAGCCUAUGUGCAUUUUCUAGAUGUUAAGCAUGAACAGUACUUAAACAACCAUUACCCGUACCAGCUCUGUCCGUGCUCCAUUUUCCAUUGCAGAUCAUACUCAGAGAUAGUACCCCUUAAAUGCAGCUGGUCGUCAUAGCAAGGCCACACACAACUGCCGCGGCGUAAUGUUCAAUGCGAGACACACACCAGCGCCCCAAUUUAAUUUAAAACGUUUCAGCAUUACUCGGAUUUUACUUAAUUUAACUAAAACAAAUAUCAAAAACAUGUCUAAUUAAUACUUUAUCAACACGUCAUACUCCUGGAAAAGACCCACAUAAAUCACAUAUUUUAAAGGAAUAGUCUACUCAUUUUCAAUAUUAUUUCAUAUUUUCAUAUUUCAACAUAUAUCAAUAAUAUGUUAUUACCUUAACUAAGAAUUGUUGAUACAUCCCUCUAUCAUCUGUGUGCGUGCACGUAAGCGC
Molecule: long non-coding RNA, 1401 nt
Organism: Paramisgurnus dabryanus
Lineage: Eukaryota; Metazoa; Chordata; Actinopteri; Cypriniformes; Cobitidae
Source: RefSeq, a predicted model, not a curated record